GAUGAACGCUAGCGGAAGGCUUAAUACAUGCAAGUCGAGCGGUAUAGUGACUUCGGUUGCUAGAGAGCGGCGCACGGGUGAGUAACGCGUACAUGACCUACCUCUAAGAUCGGGAUAGCCCUGGGAAACUGGGAUUAAUACCGGAUGUGAUAAUAAGUAUAAGGAUUUAUUAUUAAAGUUGAGGCGCUUAGAGAUGGGUGUGCGUCUGAUUAGCUAGUUGGUAGGGUAAGGGCCUACCAAGGCGACGAUCAGUAGGGGGCGUGAGAGCGUGAUCCCCCACACGGGUACUGAGACACGGACCCGACUCCUACGGGAGGCAGCAGUAGGGAAUAUUGGUCAAUGGACGGAAGUCUGAACCAGCCAUUCCGCGUGCAGGAAGAAGGUCCUAUGGACUGUAAACUGCUUUUAGCAGAGAAGAAACGCCUUCAUUUAUGAGGGUCUGACGGUAUCUGCGGAAUAAGCACCGGCUAACUCCGUGCCAGCAGCCGCGGUAAUUGACG
Molecule: ribosomal RNA, 500 nt
Filed under: uncultured bacterium
Lineage: Bacteria
Description: bacterial SSU rRNA
Rfam family: Bacterial small subunit ribosomal RNA
Source: RNAcentral